UCGAGCUCUGGCAGCAGAACGUAUGUUUGCUCCCACGCUAUACGGAGGUGUAGUAAGGUUGCUCCUGGAUUUAGUCUUUCAAGUGAUCACUCGCUGGACAUCGAUUUGAUGAAAUGAUGCAUGAUUGUUUGUUGUUCAGCAAUGUGCGCGGUCGUCCAAGUUAUUGUUCGUGGACAUGUGCAGGAUGUCGACAGGGAUUUCGGACAAAAUACUUGUUUGUGAGGAUACUUAAGAAGUCUUCAAAAUCGUGCGUGAUGACGAUAUACGACGUCGACAAAUGAACGAAAGAAGAAAAGCUGCAAUAUUUUCGCCAUUUGGAUUGCAUGAAAUUUCGGAAUAAUCUGUGACUGUGGAUUAUUUGAAACGAAAGCCUCAAGGAGCAACAAUGGAAGACUGGUCACUGUAAUCCCACGAAAAAGAUCAGGAAAAUCCAGACUCCAUUCAUGACACAUGGCAGAAGCGCACAACCGUGCUACAGGAAGCCUGGCGAAGAUGGCAAAAGGUUUGCCUCAUGCAGCUCCCUUCGGCCCCUCAGUCUAACUAAGGUUCAACACGUGGCUAUUCUGUCUUCCCUACGCACAGCCCUGACCGGUUCCAUCACGCGGUACAUCCCUAUUGAAUCCUCACAUAUGCGGCACCCGCCUUCCUCGUAGGAAUCCCCCCGUUGCCGUCUGCUCCAGCUUGGCUGUAACGACUUUUCUUUGGCCGCUCUCCUUGGCCCCGUCCAGCACCCCAACCUGUGGGCUGGCACAGCCGCCCUCCUCAGUUUCCUCAGAGCCUCAGGACCAGAGUAGGGCAUCCUCGCGAGAGCAGAAGAGGGUGAGGGAGCCCUCACCCUCACAUCUCCCUUACCUCACGCACAUUGAGGUGAGGUGAGGAACAAUUUCCAAAAAGAGAGAGUGAGGUGAGGUGAGGAAAAUGUUUGGAGAGGGAGGUUCAGGUGAGAAAAGUUUUUGAGAAGGAGGUUGAGGUGAAGUGAGGAAAAUUUUUCGACAAGGACGUUCAGGUGAGGUGAGGUGAGGGAAUUUUUUUUACAAGAACAUUGAGGUGAGAUGAGUCGAGGAAAAAUUUUUGAGAGGGAGGUUGGGGAGAUGUGGAGAGGCUAUUUUGACUUACCCGAUCGCUGAAAAGGGCAUGUAGAGCCAGCUUUUUCUAAUACCAAGGUAGCAGAAAUGCUCUUGUACUGUGAGCACAGGCUGUCUACACUAAAAUGUGUCCGCUGUAAGCCCGUUAGUUUCAGACUUUCAGUUGAGUCAGAUACAUGAUAGACGUGUCACAUCAGAUCCACGAACAAGUGAAUAUAGCUUAUGAAUUUAGUUUAGAUUUGAAUACAGUCACAUGCAUGAUGUGUCAGAUACAUGAACGAGCCAAUUUAGUUCGUGCGCUUUGUGUGUUUGGAUUUCAACAAAGCCACUAGUCAGUCUGUAAGCAUAUGUGUUUCACGUAUUACUUGGAAUGAUAGUAAAUGACAGCCAAUGACCUCACCGGAGACUGAUGUAAGAAAUGGCGGCAACAACAUGCGCUUUUAGUGCAAUAAGCGCAAAUACUGGCAUAUAUCCUGUAUUCCCACAAGUUUAACCAUUGAGCUGUUAGUGCAGCAAUAAAUUCGGCAAAAACACACAAGAGGUUUGUGUCUUCAUAAAAUAAUUUAAUUAAUAAAACAGCACAAAAGUCACCAGUAAUCUGUACAGCUCACCUACCUGAUGGCUUCAAAACAAGGCUCUUGAAGAAAAUGUCCCCGAAUUCCGGCUAUAAAUGAAUACGUCUGCUAUUUAAAUAAUACUGAUCGAUAAUGUAAAGUCAUAACAGACAAAAAUGCAAAAUGUACAAGUAAAUUUGAUGUAUAGCUGCACAUCAUCCCGAAAACGACCUCCGCUGCUCCAUUAUCAUUCUCGUUUGAGAGAUACUCGAUGAAAGCCAUUCCUGUUUUGCCAGUGCGAAAAACAGAAACAGCUCACAAUUGCUCGCUUUGUGCAACUUCUCUGCCCAAGUACCAUACGUCCAACUUUUACUGAUUGUACUGUAGGGGACACGGUUGUCUAAAAUAAGCACUCCGUGAUUUAUCUCAUCUCAAAUCUCCAGGUGUUGCAAGUCUAUUUCUUUCGAGUAAUGAACACGUGUAGCACAUGGUCCACUUUCAAAUACAAUAUUGACACAUCACAUUCAACAAAUUGCCCACCUGCCCAUUUGCUCACCUCUGCUCAGGAAUCAUGAACUGCAUGUGACGCUGUUAUAGUGUCUCGUUUCUUCUUUCUUUCUUCCAUUUUCCUGUCUUGCCUUCGCUUUCUUUUUCUUCUUUUCCGUUUUUUUCUUCUUUUUCCGUUUUUUCUUUUUUUGUGGAAUAGCAAGUCGGCUCUUUGCCUGGUUAAUAAAUAUAUAUUCCCCACCCCACAUACAGGGUGGGGGUCUACAGGGUGUAAGGGUCUAAAAAAUAAAAAUAAAACAAAGCUAUCUUGGUCGAUGAAACCAAGUA
Long non-coding RNA from Ornithodoros turicata, 2473 nucleotides. RefSeq lists it as uncharacterized. The record is from RefSeq and is a predicted model, not a curated record. Lineage: Eukaryota; Metazoa; Arthropoda; Arachnida; Ixodida; Argasidae. The transcript is spliced from 3 exons.